Molecule: ribosomal RNA, 447 nt
Filed under: uncultured bacterium
Lineage: Bacteria
Description: bacterial SSU rRNA
Rfam family: Bacterial small subunit ribosomal RNA
Source: RNAcentral
AACGAACGCUGGCGGCAGGCCUAACACAUGCAAGUCGAACGCCGUAGCAAUACGGAGUGGCAGACGGGUGAGUAACGCGUGGGAACCUACCUUACGGUCGGGAAUAGCUCAGGGAAACUUGGGGUAAUACCGGAUACGCCCUUACGGGGAAAGAUUUAUCGCCGUUAGAUGGGCCCGCGUAGGAUUAGCUGGUUGGUGAGGUAAUGGCUCACCAAGGCGACGAUCCUUAGCUGGUCUGAGAGGAUGAUCAGCCACACUGGGACUGAGACACGGCCCAGACUCCUACGGGAGCAGCAGUGGGGAAUAUUGGACAAUGGGCGCAAGGCCUGAUCCAGCCAUGCCGCGUGAGUGACGAAGGCCUUAGGGUUGUAAAGCUCUUUUGGCGGGGAAGAUAAUGACGGUACCGCAGAUAAGCUCCGGCUAACUUCGUGCCAGCAGCCGCGGUAA